Molecule: ribosomal RNA, 497 nt
Filed under: uncultured bacterium
Lineage: Bacteria
Description: partial 16S ribosomal RNA
Rfam family: Bacterial small subunit ribosomal RNA
Source: RNAcentral
GAUGAACGCUGGCGGCGUGCCUAAUACAUGCCAGUCGAGCGAACGGACGAGAAGCUUGCUUCUCUGAUGUUAGCGGCGGACGGGUGAGUAACACGUGGAUAACCUACCUAUAAGACUGGGAUAACUUCGGGAAACCGGAGCUAAUACCGGAUAAUAUUUUGAACCGCAUGGUUCAAAAGUGAAAGACGGUCUUGCUGUCACUUAUAGAUGGAUCCGCGCUGCAUUAGCUAGUUGGUAAGGUAACGGCUUACCAAGGCAACGAUGCAUAGCCGACCUGAGAGGGUGAUCGGCCACACUGGAACUGAGACACGGUCCAGACUCCUACGGGAGGCAGCAGUAGGGAAUCUUCCGCAAUGGGCGAAAGCAUGACGGAGCAACGCCGCGUGAGUGAUGAAGGUCUUCGGAUCGUAAAACUCUGUUAUUAGGGAAGAACAAAUGUGUAAGUAACUGUGCACGUCUUGACGGUACCUAAUCAGAAAGCCACGGCUAACUACGUG